UUUGAACCCUAUAUAAUCCCAUUUUAGAACCCUAAAAUCAAUUCCGUUCUGCCAUUCAAGUUUGCGCCGUAGCAAGUUUCCUCCACCAUUCCAGUCCCCUCCCAUGCCCGGCCAGAUAAUGACGAAACGAGGACGCCUUCCGACGACCCUCGCAACAAUAUGGAGAUCGUGGAGACGAGCGCUGCAUGGCUGUUGAACGCAUAGGCACGACGUGCGCGACAUGCGGGGCGACGUGCGGGAGGCUAUUGCGGCGCAAGGAAAAGAUUAGGGUUUUUCUGUUUAGUGUUCAGGCUAAUUAGGUUAGAUUUGGGCUUGCUCGGGUAUUGGGCCUGCAAUUUGGGUUAUUGGGUUUAGUAAUGGACUUCUAAUUUUAAAUUUGGAUCUCUGAAGUUUUAGGCUAAUUGGGCCGUGUAAAGGAUUUUGGGCCCCGGGCAAUAAUUGGGUAUUACACUAAUCAUCUCACUGUGUAUCUUAAUUUUAAUAGUACCAAUACCAAUUACCUUACUAGAUGAA
Molecule: long non-coding RNA, 513 nt
Organism: Gossypium raimondii (Peruvian cotton)
Lineage: Eukaryota; Viridiplantae; Streptophyta; Magnoliopsida; Malvales; Malvaceae
Exons: 2
Source: RefSeq, a predicted model, not a curated record